Molecule: ribosomal RNA, 497 nt
Filed under: uncultured bacterium
Lineage: Bacteria
Description: partial 16S ribosomal RNA
Rfam family: Bacterial small subunit ribosomal RNA
Source: RNAcentral
GAUGAACGCUGGCGGCGUGCCUAAUACAUGCAAGUCGAGCGAACGGACGAGAAGCUUGCUUCUCUGAUGUUAACGGCGGACGGGUGAGUAACACGUGGAUAACCUCCCUAUAAGACUGGGAUAACUUCGGGAAACCGGAGCUAAUACCGGAUAAUAUUUUGAACAGCAUGGUUCAAAAGUGAAAGACGGUCUUGCUGUCACUUAUAGAUGGAUCCGCGCUGCAUUAGCUAGUUGGUAAGGUAACGGCUUACCAAGGCAACGAUGCAUAGCCGACCUGAGAGGGUGAUCGGCCACACUGGAACUGAGACACGGUCCAGACGCCUACGGGAGGCAGCAGUAGGGAAUCUUCCGCAAUGGGCGAAAGCCUGACGGAGCAACGCCGCGUGAGUGAUGAAGGUCUUCGGAUCGUAAAACUCUGUUAUUAGGGAAGAACAUAUGUGUAAGUAACUGUGCACAUCUUGACGGUACCUAAUCAGAAAGCCACGGCUAACUACGUG